UAUUGUAUUGCGUUAAACGCGACAUACAUUCCAUGAGACUUUAUUACAGUGUGUGUGUAAAUACGUAGGACCACAGCAGGGGGACAGAGCCCCAGGCUACAGAACUACGGAGGGUGCACAGGUGUGAGUGGAUGUGCAAACAGAGCGUGCACAUGCCCCCAUUUGAGGACCAGCAACAACUCGUGUCGACAAUUCGGUAAUGAUCCUUCCGCAGGUUCACCUACGGAAA
This 229-nucleotide unclassified non-coding RNA is filed under the name uncultured fungus. Its description in RNAcentral is "sequence contains ITS1". Lineage: Eukaryota; Fungi. The record is from RNAcentral.